This is a non-coding RNA of Lactuca sativa (garden lettuce), 2778 nucleotides long. The record is from RefSeq and is a predicted model, not a curated record. Lineage: Eukaryota; Viridiplantae; Streptophyta; Magnoliopsida; Asterales; Asteraceae.
AUAAAUUAAUACAGAUCUUUGAUUUGCAUUAUAUAAAAAUGUGAAGUGAUGAAAUGGAUAAAUAUCAUUAUGGAAAGGAAAACUGGAACAGUAAUGGGGAAGUAUUUAGCCACCAUAUUUGCACUGCUAAUCUAUACUCUUUAAUUCUAUGCCUAAUCAGUUUUACUUUUUUUUCACAUUCAAAAAACUUUCUAAAACUAAAUCUAACAACACUUUGUAGUCUACUGAUGUUUAUGUUGUAUUUCUUUGUUUAGCUUGAUAGUCAAUGGCUACUAAUGAAGGGAUAAUUAAUCUUGAUGAUCAAAAUGAAAAUGAAGAUAACAUUGAAGAUGAAAAGAAGUCAACGGGCAGGUUAAAAUCCAUUGUUUGGGAACAUUUUCCAAAGGUCGAAGGUGCUACAAGUACACAAUGCAAGCAUUGUAAGAAGGUAUUAAGUUGUCGUGGUAGAUAGAAUGGUACUUCCUCGUUACUCAAUCAUCUUCACAAUACAUGUAAGACCUCACCACUUUAUAAAAAACCUGAUUUGAAGAAACAAACAACUUUAAGCUUUAAGCCAAAAGGUACGGAGGCAAGUGGAUCUUUGGCUAAGCAUUCCUUUAGCCAAGAGAGGUGUAGAUUAGCCCUUGCCAAAAUGUGCAUUAAAGAUAAUCGACCUUUUAGUAUUGUUGAUGACGAGGGUUUUAGGGAGUUUGUGUGGGAAUUGAAUCCUCAGUUUAAGAUCAUAUCCAGAUGGACUGUUGCUCGAGAUUGUUUAUCAAUUUAUGAACAAGAGGUGGAAAAAAUUAAAGAUAUGUUGCAUGGCCAAACAGUGUGUCUAACUACAGAUACUUGGACAUCUGUUCAAAACAUCAAUUAUAUGUGCCUUACGGCACAUUGGAUCGAUGAUGACUGGGUUUUACAAAAGAAGAUCCUAAAUUUUUGCCCUAUAGAAAAUCAUAGGGGUGACACCAUUGGGAGCCUUGUUUAUGAUUGUAUACAAAAGUGGGGGAUUGAGAUUGUGUUUACUAUCACAGUGGAUAACGCUUCUUCAAACGAUGGGGCAAUAAGAUAUUCGAAGAGGAUGUUGAAGGGACCAAAUGAUAUAUUAGAUUGUAAAUAUUUGCACCUACGUUGUUGUGCACAUAUCAUCAAUCUUGUUGUUAGAGAUGGUUUGGAAGAGCAAUUCGAUUCUGUUACUAGAAUUCGAAACGCAGUGACAUACGUGCGAUCGUCACCAGCUCGAUAUAAAACAUUUGAAGAUUGUAUUGCUCGGGUUGAAAUAAAGUGCAAACAAAAGCCCUCUCUUGAUGUUGAUACACGAUGGAAUUCAACAUACUUAAUGUUGGAAACAGCAAUAAAAUAUGAAAAUGCAUUUGAAAGGCUUUACACGAUAGAUCCUUCUUAUGGAGCUUAUUUUCGCACUGAAGCGGAUACCGAUUUGGAAGGGUGCACAAGAAAAAGGAAAAGAAAGCCUAAAGUAGUUGGUGCUCCGAGUGGUGUUGAUUGGGAGGCAGCCAGGUACGAUUAACUUUCUUAGUUGACACUUUAUAUUUAUUAUUUAUCAUAUGAAUACUUACAUAUUGUUAUUAAAUUAGGAAUUUGAUCGAGUACUUGAAAAUAUUUUUUGAUGUUACAAUCAAGAUAUCUGGUUCAAAGUAUGUAACAUCUAAUAUUUUUUUUUUCUGAGCUUGUGAAAAUGCAAGCGACAAUCACAAGGAUGUGCUUAUGUCAAGAUGAACAAAAGAAAAAGAUGGCAACGUCGAUGAAAGCCAAGUAUGAUAAAUACUGGGACAAUGUGGAUAAUAUGAAUUAUCUAUUGCAUGUUGCGGUUGUUUUGGAUCCGCGCAACAAGCUUCGAUACGUCAAUUAUUGCAUUGAAAUGAUAUAUGGUAAGAACUCUGAGAAAGGCAAAGAGAUAUCGGGGAAGGUAAAGCAGACUCUUGAAGAUUUGUUUAACCAUUAUAAGAGUAAAGCAGAAAAAACCAAUGUACAAAACACACAAGAUGGUGUUUUUAUUGAUAAGUCAAGUAGUGUUGGUGAGAUGGAUGUUGAUUUGGAGCUUGAGUUUGACAAACAUGACGAUGAGGGUCAAGAUACUAAGAGUGAGGUGGAGAUCUAUUUAGCAGAUGGAAGGGAAAAAAGGGACCAAACAUCUGAUCUUUUGGGUUGGUGGAAAUCAAAUUCAGUCAAAUUCCUGAUACUGUCUAAAGUAGCUAAGCAUGUUUUGGCAAUGCCAAUCUCUACUAUAGCAUCAGAGUCGGCAUUUAGUACUGGUGGGAGAGUUAUCGAUAAGUAUAGGAGUUCACUUAACACUGACACCGCAAAAGCUUUAAUAUGUGUACAAGAUUGGAUACGAUCUUCAUCGGUGGAUCUUGAGCUCGGUUGUAAUAUGUCGAGUAAAGACAUAGAUGAAUUGAAUGAGAAGAUGGCAGAAAUGCUUUUAAAGGGUAAAAAUUCAUCCGAUGACGGUCCACAAAAAGUGUGAUGGAAUUGCUUAGUUACCAUUGUAUGCAGCGGAAAGAGUUUCAAUGUCAGGUUUCAUGGAUGAAAGAAGGAUAAAAUUCUAGAAGACAAAAUUGUUGGUUUUUUGUUAUGUUUAACUUAAAAUGUUGAAAUUUGACAAUUUUAAGAUAUUUAUUGUUAAUUACUAACGAUUUGACGUUUUUAAGAUAUUAGUUGUUUUUUAUUUAAGUUCAUUUUCAUAUACCUUAUGUUUUUUUUAUUAUUACAAGUAACGUGUUUGAACUUUUAAACCGUUUAAAAAAGUCUUAAUUGUUCGAACGAGUUAUGCAAAAUCAU